Molecule: long non-coding RNA, 716 nt
Organism: Prunus dulcis (almond)
Lineage: Eukaryota; Viridiplantae; Streptophyta; Magnoliopsida; Rosales; Rosaceae
Exons: 3
Source: RefSeq, a predicted model, not a curated record
CAAACAAGGAAGAGUAAAACUACUGUCAUGGGCCUGCGAGUGUAGCCCAAAUCUGAUCACAACCGGCUAUCGCUCGCUGUUGCCUCUCCAGAAAGUGAAUCCCCAAAUGUAUUCGGCGGAAUCAAAAGCCCUAACCCUAAUUCCCUAGUCGACGUCGUCGCUCGCAUGACAUCUCUGUCGAGUUAGUAAAGAAAAGAGGAUAAUGACGAUUGGAGGCCUGCGCUAAAGGGUGUUUGGGUUGUUCUACAUUACGGUUCAAAGCACAAGUCGCUCGGUUCAAGGCAGUGUUAAUCUUCUUUAUGCACUCAUUCGCAUAAUAAUGCGUGGCUGUGGAAAUGGCUUCAUGUGUGUUGGGGGUUUGAGCGAUUCUAAGCGUGCCUGGUUCAAACUAUUUGGGCUGGCUCUAUUAGCCUAGUGUCACGGCCCGCAUGUUCAAGGCCCAACCCGUUGGAUUGAUCAUGCUAGACCUCUUAGCCCACAUGUCCAGAUUCGUUGUACAGUAGUAGGUGGACUACGGUUGGUGACAGUGGUUGGUAGAUGCCGGUAGGUGACAUUGUAUCUUAGUCACCUACCAUGAUGGUAGGUGGGAUAGGGAAUGUAUAUAAGGAGGAUGUCACAUUGUGAAUCCUCACAUCACAACUUGUAAAGCAUUGAGUAGCAAUACAAGCAUAUAUUCUCCCAAACUUUCUUAAGCGUUCUUAUUGUGUUCUUGCUCU